CCCAAUUCUCUCGGUUGGAAAACUAACACUUUAAAUACCCUAAAUUGGAAAAAGUGUGGCAAAGUGUGAUUUUCAGUGGGUUUUUUUUUGCCUUUUAACUCAAUAACUGUAUCAUCUACGUAAAAUCCGUUGACAUUACCGAAAAGAUUCAAAAUGAGUACCACAAUGGAAAAAAUACGAUCUAAUCAGACGAAAAAUUAAAUCUAAAACACUUCAUCAGGAAUCAACCCCUUGUAUUUCAGAAAUUGUUGACGCUACUCCAAAUCUGUUGAC
RNAcentral lists this long non-coding RNA (273 nucleotides) under Mytilus galloprovincialis (Mediterranean mussel). The record is from RNAcentral. Lineage: Eukaryota; Metazoa; Mollusca; Bivalvia; Mytilida; Mytilidae.